RNAcentral lists this transfer RNA (72 nucleotides) under Marmota monax (woodchuck). RNAcentral's name for it is "tRNA.Ala". The record is from RNAcentral. Lineage: Eukaryota; Metazoa; Chordata; Mammalia; Rodentia; Sciuridae.
UAGGUUGUGGUUCAGCGGUAGAGCACUCACCUAGCACGUGCGAGGCCCUGGGUUCCAUCCUCAACACCAUAU